This is a long non-coding RNA of Acinonyx jubatus (cheetah), 1455 nucleotides long. RefSeq lists it as uncharacterized. The record is from RefSeq and is a predicted model, not a curated record. The transcript is spliced from 7 exons. Lineage: Eukaryota; Metazoa; Chordata; Mammalia; Carnivora; Felidae.
GUCAGCGUCAUAACGUCAAAACGCCAUAACGCCGUAACGCCGUAACGCCAUAACGUCAUAACGUCGGGAGCCGCCCACCUAGUGUUACGACGCUGAAGUCGUUCUCCUCGCUUCUUCUCCUCACGCGGGCGUGUCAUCCUCGGGAGGCCUCGCAAGAAGGAGGGUCCCUCUGUGGGAGCAAAUAGCAAGGGGACCAGACCUGGUGCAGAGUGCGAGAGAGAGGGAUUCCUGGUGAAAGGGACAAUGACACGAAGGCUGAAGGCAAGACCUUGCAGGUUAGAAGCUUCCAUCCUGAGGUGCGACUGGAGGCAAGCAACCAGAAGCUCUCAGAAGCUAGAUACACCAGAAAUAUGCUCAGGAAAAGGGAUACAAGAGAUCUAGGAAAUAGAUGCACCAAUGGAAGAAAGAAGCAAUGACACACAGGGAGAAAGCCACGUGAUGAUGGACGUAGAGACUGGAGUCAUGCUGUCAGAAGCCGAGGAACACCUCGGGCCACCAGAAGCUGGAAGAUGCAAGGAAGGAUCCUUCCCUCUGCUUCAGAGAAGGCACAGCCCUGCCAACACAUUGACUGCAGACUUCUGGCCUCCAGAACUGUGGGUGAUGGGUGAUGGUGGCAGAACAGGUUCUACAGAAAUGUCUGGCAUCCCUUGUUCCCAAGCUUUGAAGCCUCUGCCAAAUACAUAGAGACGUCACAUUUAACAUCCUGUUACAAAGGCGUAGAAUGAGUGGGUGUGAGCUAAGGAUUUUGCGCCGGACUGGCACACGGGGAUCAACGAAUGGGGAUGAAAAUGCUAUCAAUCUGAGCUCCCAAAGCUUCAAGGAGACACCUAAAGAAGAGGAGAGUUAAGUUUUUCUGUCCCACUGCCUCCCAGAGGUGGUAGUUGACCAACCCUGCAGAACACAGAUGGGAAAGAUGUCCCAUACUCUUACCCUCUAAAUGGAAGAUUGGAAAAGAAUAUCGAGAGAGGGAAAAGAAGUGGAUACAUACGAGCUAUGGGUGUAAAGGCCCUGGCUGGAACUUUUUGCCAAAGGGAUGGUGAAGAGGUAGCUGCAAGUAGGAUUCUUUGGGGGAAGUCAAUCCAAAGUGGGUUGGAAAAACGAGGCCCGCAACAAGCAGGUAAUAGCCCCAGUUUGUUCUCAUCUCUCUCUAUCCAUGCCCUGGGCAAUCCCUUCCCACACUCACUCUGGCCUUGGCCGUGUGACUUGACAAAAGCGAGCAGAGACUUGCAGAGUACUGGUGCAUUAGAGCGGCCCCCUCUUGCUGCCGGAACCCCAGAACCACACACAAAGUGCCCCCGGCAGCCUCCAAGAUGCCGAGAGACCCUAAGGCCAGGCCAGGCUGUGUGGACACCUCAGCUGCCCCAGCAGCCCCCAGCCCCCAUGUCAGAGGGUAAGGCCAGCAGAAGCGUCACCCAGCCAAGCCACAGAAUGAAGAGAAAUAAUAAGUUAUUGUUG